Oncorhynchus kisutch (coho salmon) is the source of this 1284-nucleotide long non-coding RNA. RefSeq lists it as uncharacterized. The record is from RefSeq and is a predicted model, not a curated record. NCBI's taxonomy places the organism in Eukaryota, Metazoa, Chordata, Actinopteri, Salmoniformes, Salmonidae. The transcript is spliced from 4 exons.
AGCUGUAACCUGUGGCCGUGUCAGUGGCGGUCUCGUAGGCGAAGCAAGUACAACACUACUAAGUUGUUUUGUGGCAUUAUGAGAUCAAGGCUCCAAAUUUACUCUCUCAUUUGAGUAUCUUACCUAGUUAUUUUCCGAUCUCAUUUUGCUCUUUUGUAGCUUUGGCAACUAUGUGUGUGUUUUCUAUAACUGUAUGUUUUAGAGAUCCCGACAAUUUGGCUGCAACCGUUCUAAUUUAAUGUACCCUGUGGAAUUCAUGGUCUCCGACACCAUUUGACACGUUCGAUCUGUGAUCAAGAACGCUAGUUAAUCUCAGCCUACACUCUAAAAAUUAAGGGCUCAACGGUUCUUCUAAGAUCCUCAUAGUUCUUCGAAUAACCUUAAGAUUCUUGGCACUGAAAAUGGCCCUCAAAAGGUUCUUCCAAGAACCCCAUAGCAGGUAGGGUUCAUUGAGGAACCACCUCAGUUGGUGGGGGUUCUUGCAGGAACCUAACUUCCAAACUGAAACAUUUGGCUUUGAAUUUGGAAGGACAGCAGGUGAAGGCACUUAACUAAAACAUGUAAAGAUUUCCUCAAUUUAAGAAAAUGGACACAAUACAAUGGAUAUCAAUCAACAAAGAGUUAUACAGACGAGGAGGCAUACAAAGGUAUGUCAUUUGGUAUGUUAUGCAGAUCAGACUUACCAUCCUCCUACCUUACCUCUUCAAUUAAUAUCCCAUAGGUCUCUACAUUAUGGAAACGGAUUCACAGACAUCACCCUUCCUACACCUCUGAAUAUAACAGGAAACCUGUUCUAUCACCAUGCUAUGCAAACUCAUUCUGGCUAUAGAUACGGAGAACAUCUACACAUUAACAUCACCAUGCCAGAAGACACUUUACACUUUAAAAGGGUUCUUCAAAGAAUUUAUAUUGUUUCAAUUUGAAGAACCCCUAAAGGAUACUCCAGGAACCUUUUUCUUUUAGAGUGUAUGCUGCCCUUCAGUCCCUAGACUUUUUGGCCCUGACGGGGACAUGGAUCACCCCAGAAAACACUACUUCAGCUGCUCUCCCUUCAUCUGACUACGCGUUCUCUCAUAGUCAGAGCAUCUGAUCGUCGGGUUGGAUCCUGGGAGCUACUAAUUUCUCCUCUGAGAUUUUCUUCUCCCUCACUCAGUCAGCUGUACAUCUCUUCAUUUGAAUUCCAUGCCGUCACUGUCACUUGUCCACUCAAGCUUAAAAUAGUUAUUUAUUUCCCACCAGGUGCCCUUAGAGUUAAUCAAUAAACUUGACACCUUGAUAAGCAAA